AGCAGAUUCGUGAGAUAGUCGACCAAGAAACAAAUUCCCCUUCCCUUGCGAGUAUAUAUUUCACCAAAAAAAUAACUCGAUCAAACUUCGAAGAUUUGUGUGGGGUCAAACUAUUCGCUUGUA
RNAcentral lists this small RNA (123 nucleotides) under Arabidopsis thaliana (thale cress). RNAcentral's name for it is "ATSL236820". Lineage: Eukaryota; Viridiplantae; Streptophyta; Magnoliopsida; Brassicales; Brassicaceae. The record is from RNAcentral.